Molecule: ribosomal RNA, 477 nt
Filed under: uncultured Planctomycetota bacterium
Lineage: Bacteria; Pseudomonadati; Planctomycetota
Description: bacterial SSU rRNA
Rfam family: Bacterial small subunit ribosomal RNA
Source: RNAcentral
UUCGCAAUGCCCGAAAGGGUGACGAAGCGACGCCGCGUGUGGGAAGAAGGCCUUCGGGUUGUAAACCACUGUCGGGAGUUAAGAAAUGUAAGGGUGUUAAUAGCGCCUUUACUUGACAAAGGCUCCGGAGGAAGCCACGGCUAACUCUGUGCCAGCAGCCGCGGUAAUACAGAGGCGGCAAGCGUUGUUCGGAAUUAUUGGGCGUAAAGAGCACGUAGGCGGCCAUGUAAGUCGGUUGUGAAAGCCUUCCGCUCAACGGAAGAACAGCAUCCGAUACUACAUGGCUUGAGUGCGGGAGGGGAGAGUGGAACUUCUGGUGGAGCGGUGAAAUGCGUAGAUAUCAGAAGGAACGCCGGCGGCGAAAGCGGCUCUCUGGCCCAUAACUGACGCUGAGUGUGCGAAAGCUAGGGGAGCAAACGGGAUUAGAUACCCCGGUAGUCCCAGCCGUAAACGAUGGGCACUAAGUAGAGGGGUUUU